This 49-nucleotide non-coding RNA is filed under the name unclassified sequences. RNAcentral's name for it is "Na+-I sequence". It matches the Rfam family "Na+ riboswitch aptamer (DUF1646)". Rfam says of the family: Proteobacteria, NC10, Acidobacteria, Verrucomicrobia. Lineage (Clostridia) The riboswitch of Na+ was first reported in a comparative analysis of intergenic regions and called DUF1646 RNA, it was also suggested that it acts as cis-reg RNA present upstream of Na+ genes. The record is from Rfam by way of RNAcentral.
GGUUGGGCAGGAACUGCUUCAAGAUGAUUGGCUUAUUGGGUGGGGAGCU